UGGUGGAGUGAUUUGUCUGGUUGAUUCCGUUAACGAACGAGACCUCGGCUUGUUUUAUAGUGCUGCAAAUGGCAUCCAUUUGUAUUGGUACUUCAAAGAGGGACAUUUCGGUUUUACCGGAAGGAAGUUCGAGGCAAUAACA
Molecule: ribosomal RNA, 142 nt
Filed under: uncultured eukaryote
Lineage: Eukaryota
Description: partial 18S ribosomal RNA
Rfam family: Eukaryotic small subunit ribosomal RNA
Source: RNAcentral